RNAcentral lists this ribosomal RNA (314 nucleotides) under uncultured bacterium. RNAcentral describes it as "partial 16S ribosomal RNA". It matches the Rfam family "Bacterial small subunit ribosomal RNA", at positions 499 to 807 of the family's 1533-position model. The record is from RNAcentral.
GUAUAAGAGACAGCAGUAGCCACGGUAAUACGUAGGGUGCAAGCGUUAAUCGGAAUUACUGGGCGUAAAGCGUGCGCAGGCGGUUCUAUAAGACAGAUGUGAGAUCCCCGGGCUCAACCUGGGAACUGCAUUUGUGACUGUAGAGCUGGAGUGCGGCAGAGGGGGAUGGAAUUCCGCGUGUAGCAGUGAAAUGCGUAGAUAUGCGGAGGAACACCGAUGGCGAAGGCAAUCCCCUGGGCCUGCACUGACGCUCAUGCACGAAAGCGUGGGGAGCAAACAGGAUUAGAUACCCCAGUAGUCCCUGUCUCUUAUAC